Molecule: unclassified non-coding RNA, 242 nt
Filed under: Helotiales sp.
Lineage: Eukaryota; Fungi; Ascomycota; Leotiomycetes; Helotiales
Description: partial contains small subunit ribosomal RNA, internal transcribed spacer 1, and 5.8S ribosomal RNA
Rfam family: Eukaryotic small subunit ribosomal RNA (bases 1-46)
Source: RNAcentral
AAGUCGUAACAAGGUCUCCGUAGGUGAACCUGCGGAGGGAUCAUUACAGAGUUCAUGCCCUAACGGGUAGAUCUCCCACCCUGUGUUAUAAUUACUUUGUUGCUUUGGCGGACCGUUAGGCUCGCGUCUACCACCGGCUUUAGCCGGUGUGUGCCCGCCAGAGGACCCAAAACCCCGAAUUUUAGUGUCGUCUGAGUACUAUAUAAUAGUUAAAACUUUCAACAACGGAUCUCUUGGUUCUG